Molecule: unclassified non-coding RNA, 368 nt
Filed under: uncultured fungus
Lineage: Eukaryota; Fungi
Description: partial contains ITS1, 5.8S rRNA and ITS2
Source: RNAcentral
AACGCAUAUUGCACUCCUUUGGAGUAUGCCUGUUUGAGAAUCUUUAGUAAUUCUUCUUGCUACCUUCCUUUUUGUAAGGUAGAAAGAGAUAUGAGGAGUCCCUUUGAUACUACAUGGUAGUACUUAUUCGAUUCGAAAGAGUCAAGUAAAGAAAGGGUGCCUUGAAAGAGAUUGCUGCAGCGGCACAAGGUGUCUGACGUUAGGAACGACCAGCAGCGACGUAUGUGAAAGAAACUUUGUUUCUCAUAAUGCCGAGAUGUUUGGAAGGGACUGGCUAGUCUUGAGCUCUGCGGUUCUAAUACCAAAGAAGGGGCGAAAGCCUCUUGAACCUUGGUCUCAAAUCAGGUAGGAAGACCCGCUGAACUUAA